This 468-nucleotide ribosomal RNA is filed under the name uncultured bacterium. RNAcentral's name for it is "partial 16S ribosomal RNA". It matches the Rfam family "Bacterial small subunit ribosomal RNA", at positions 28 to 507 of the family's 1533-position model. The record is from RNAcentral.
GACGAACGCUGGCGGCGUGCUUAACACAUGCAAGUCGAACGGAAAGGCCCUGCUUUUGUGGGGUGCUCGAGUGGCGAACGGGUGAGUAACACGUGAGUAACCUGCCCUUGACUUUGGGAUAACUUCAGGAAACUGGGGCUAAUACCGGAUAGGAGCUCCUGCUGCAUGGUGGGGGUUGGUAAGUUUCGGCGGUUGGGGAUGGACUCGCGGCUUAUCAGCUUGUUGGUGGGGUAGUGGCUCACCAAGGCUUUGACGGGUAGCCGGCCUGAGAGGGUGACCGGCCACAUUGGGACUGAGAUACGGCCCAGACUCCUACGGGAGGCAGCAGUGGGGAAUAUUGCACAAUGGGCGGAAGCCUGAUGCAGCAACGCCGCGUGCGGGAUGACGGCCUUCGGGUUGUAAACCGCUUUCGCCUGUGACGAAGCGUGAGUGACGGUAAUGGGUAAAGAAGCACCGGCUAACUACGUG